This 2761-nucleotide long non-coding RNA is filed under the name Acyrthosiphon pisum (pea aphid). RNAcentral describes it as "uncharacterized LOC107884399". Lineage: Eukaryota; Metazoa; Arthropoda; Insecta; Hemiptera; Aphididae. The record is from RNAcentral.
UUCUGAAUUUAAUAUAAAUUUCCAUUAAAAAGUUCGCACUUUUUCACUUAUAACUUAAUUUCUAAACGUACGAUUUUGAUGAUUUUUACAAAAGCACGUUCCACACAAUAUUUCUAAUGUUUUGGAGUUUACUAGGGGUUAAUUGAUGCAUCAGAAAGUUAGUUAUGUCUUGAAACAAACUUACCUGUAUUUUACACAGCUUAAAUAGGCAACUCCUGCUCGAUAUAGAUACUAUACUUACACACACCGUCGUGCAGUUAUUUAUUUUUUUUUUACUUAGCUCGCUGGAUAUCAAUAAUAGUGGUCUUAAGAAAAAUUAACGCUAUAUUUUGUAUUGAGUAAAUCCCAUAUUAUACUUUAUCGUUAUUGUUUGUAUUUGAAUUUAAUGUCUAGUUAGAGCUAAUGUAGAGUCUAACUAAGAUAAUGAUGCAACUAAAAUUCGUUUGUGACUAUUCGUUCGCUAGUCACUAGCUGUGACUUAUGACAUUGCGCGUGACGUCACGGAUUCGUCCGCCGAGGCGGCGGCCAUAUAUAAUACACGGCAAUAUUUAUCCAUUUUUGGUUUAACAUAAAAUAACUGCUUAUGAACUUAUUAUUUUUCGAAUGAACUAAUCAAACGUAUUCAAGAGUACCUCGUAGUCUUUCCAUUCGUAUAAUUAUAUCACAUUUUGGUUUAACAGUGUGUCAGUGUAGACAAAAAUAACACUUAAAUAAAUUAUAUUAUAAAUUUACCAUACCGCUGCUGCAGUAAACGUGUGUAAUAUUGUUUUGACGAUCGUGACAUCGUGUACGGAUUUCUGACGCCUAAACUGUCUGUAUAGUUUUAACUCGUAGCUAAUAUUAGAGAUGGGUGAGGCUUUCUUAUUAUUAUCUAACUAUUAUAUAUAACUAUCUAACUUUUGAUCGUCCAUUAACAUCGAUUUCCAAAAAUGAAUUAUUUACAUUUUGUGGUUGGAUAUCUGUUCACAGAUCAUCCACUGUUGGUUCGAAAUUAUAUAGUUGAAGGGCCAUUAAAAAAUAUAUAACACACAUAUAUUAGAAUAUUAUAUCGUGUAACUAGAAAGGACCGCAAUCACAUUUCACACUGACACUGUACUUACUAGUUGUUAGUACUUAGUAGUAACUAGCUAAACACUAAUACGAAAUAAAAGAUAACAUUAUAAUUAAUUAUUAUCAUAACCAUAAAGAUAUUUUUAACUUUAAUACGGCGAUUAUACCAUAUUGUUAUGAAAAAUAAACAUCGAUAAAAUCUUAUACAAUUAUAAAUAAAAUCAUAGCAGCACUCAUAUGAGUAAUUAGUGACAAUUGACACUGUAAUAUGACAGCAGUGGUGUAUUAUAAUAUAAUUGCUAUUAUUUCAUUAAUAUUAUACCAAAAUUCAAUAUACCUAAUUAUACGAAUAGAAAGAUUACGAGGUACUCUUAAAUACAUUUGGUUAGGUUAUUCGAAAAAAUAUAAGUUUAUUAGCAGUUACUUUACGUUAAACCAAAAACGGAUAAACAUUGCUGUGUACUGUUAUGGCCGCCGCCGCGACGAACGAAUCCGUGACGUCACGCGCAAUCGCUUAACUAGCGAAUGGACAGUCACAAACGAAUUUUAGUGGUAUCAUUUUUUUCGUCAAAGUUUGUACUUUAAUUUAAGCCUGAGAACAUUUUUUGAGUUGGAUGGUCCUUCGAUUAGUGUAAUAUUAUGGUUCAGGUUGUAGACCGUUACCACUUAAAAUGUCAGUAAACAAUAAUCGAGGUUUUGUAUAAUUAAACAAAAUGUUAACUAUCGUGUGGAGUAUACAAAUUACAAAUUUAAACGUAAAAUUAAUAUACAAAGAAUUAAAACCAUUGCAAAAACCAAGUUAAACUUAAUAUGCUAUUUACAAGCUACAACAAUCACAUUCAAACCUCCAUAACUCAAAUCAUUCAGCAAGAUACAGGAACUGGUGUAUGCAAGUGUACUCAAGUCACUUAGGAGAUUAUUCUGUUUUGAAAAACUUCUUCUGAAAAAACUGUUUCCACGUGGUGGUUUAAGAGUAAUGAACAAAAUGGGCAUCUAACUUCAACUUCUAGGUUCACCCUUGAAAAAAUGUCAUUAAGUUACCUAUACCACAUGCAGUUGUAAAUACAGUUACACAUAUAAUCACAAUAAUUACAUAGUUGAUAUUUUCAAAGUUUAGGUUACUAUGAAUGUCAAUGAGAAUAACUUGUUUCAUCAAAAAGUUAGAAAUUGAAUAUAAUAUGCUAUAAACUUAUCAUUUUUUUUCAAUGUCAUGCGCCGCAUAAUCAUGAUCGUGGAUUAAAUGAUCUAUAAAUGGACAAUUUUAUUGAGUUAAAACAAUAAAUAUAAUGAUCAAUGAUUAAUAAUGCAUACUGAUUUGUGUUUUAUAAUUUUUAUACUAUUUGACUAGUGUACAACAGUAAAUCGAUUAAUAACUAAAUUUAGUCAAUACUUAUUUUGUUGUAAGCUUUAAAUAGAUUUGCAGUAUUUUAUCCAAUACUACCUAGUACAUACCAUGUUCUUGAUGUUCAACAUUGUAAUGAUCGUAUUCAACAAUACCUAAACCAACAUGCAUCUAGAUCCUAAAAAUUAAUUACCUAUAUUAUUUUUUAAUUGAACAAUGGUACCAUUAAUCAAUGUGCAUCCAUUUUUGUUGUGGUAGAAACUUGUAAAGACAGCAAUAUACACUUAUGUAAACAGUAGUAUGUAGCUAAAUGCUAUUGAAUUACAAAAAAAUCUCAACAACUGUUAAGACUUAAUGAUAAUUAAUAUG